This is a long non-coding RNA of Herpailurus yagouaroundi (jaguarundi), 547 nucleotides long. RefSeq lists it as uncharacterized. The transcript has 2 exons. The record is from RefSeq and is a predicted model, not a curated record. Lineage: Eukaryota; Metazoa; Chordata; Mammalia; Carnivora; Felidae.
CCUGACCACUUCAAAGUGAAGGCUCUUCAAUUUCCAAAUCUCCACCUCUACCUAUUCAGGAUGAGGUAUGAUGAUGCUGAAGAGGAGUGAGGUCAUCUCUACUCAUCAGAAAAGCAGGCCCCGACUUCACCGCUAUCCCGUGAGAAGGCGGGCGUCACUGGGCAGGCAUCACAGGGAGAGACCACACUCUGCACCUUCCUCAACCCCCUGGUAUCUGUUACUAAAGUCCUGAGAUGAUGGGGUCAUCGUCACCUGUUUCAUGGCUUUUGGUACAAACAAGAUGGGUCAGUGACGCCCACCUCUGUGCUCUCAACUUUCCUUUCUCCCAAGUGCAGAGGACACCCCUCCUGUUGGUCACGAUCCUACUAAAUGGGUUAAAGGUGGGGCGAUUCUGGAGACUGAAAGGCCUUCACUCUGAAGUGGUCAGGUGCCACAUCUAUUAUGAUGUCAUGGCUUGAAAUUAACUGAAGAAGGGAGGUUUGGCCCACCUUGAAGUACUUCUAGCCAACAUUCCCUGUUUUCCAAUAAAGCACAGAUAUGCAAAUAA